UCUAUCCCAGGGAAAGACGAUGCCAUGCCCGUGACCGCGUAACCCAGAAGACUCAGCUCGAACACCUUUCUUCCCUAAUUUGCGAUGUAGAAACAGAGAGUUCUCUAGCAGUUCAAGAAUUCCAAUUCGAGACACAAACAUCAUGAGCUUUAAAACUUUGAAUCUGCGCGGACAAUCGUGUAUCCACGAGGAAUGACAAACACAAAUCUUCGUUCAAGAAGAAUCGAGGAAACGCGGUUGAAUAUGUGCCCCAUCUCAUCAUCAAAAUCGAAUUCAAUCGAGGUUGUGCGUGAAGAGAAAUCGACGGAAGGAAAUCCUCACCAAUUUCAUGCUCCGGGUUGUCGUUCGCGUUGUCGCGCCGUCGUUGAUUAUGUUGCCCUUACAUUGCGUGUUGGUUGAAAUGAAGAGGGAAGGCUCGUGAUCUUUCUUUGCGUUUACGCUGAAACUCGAAGGGUAUCUUCAUAAGCGAGUUUUUCCAAAUUGCAGCUAGAAUUUUGUUGAGUUAGGUUGGUUGUCGAACGGGUUUGUUGAGAGGUGAUUGUUCGGUUAGUAAUGAGUUGAGAGAGAGGGAUGGAGGGUGAAGAAGGUUGUAGUUGGAAGUGGAGGUUGGAGAAGUUAGAAGUUGUUAUGGAAGAUGGUUGGAGAGUGAAGGGGUUCUUAGUUGGAAGAGGUUUGUAGGGGAUUCCCCCUUCUGGUUUGAGGAGUUUGUUGGAUUUUGUUGAAGUUCUGUUAUGAAGGAAUGAGAGAGGUUUGUUGAAAGGUUGUUACCAUUCUGUUAUAGAGAUUGAUUAGAGGUUUUUUGUAUGGUUAGAAUUUAGUUGGAGGUUAGAGUCGGUUGGAGUGUGUUUUGUUAAUACAGUUGGAAGUUGGAAUUUUUGAAUCUUUGUUUUUUCAAGGUUCAGGGAAUUAGGUUGCUUUGUUCAGGCUUCAACUUCAGAUCACAAUAAUCUCUAGGCAACAUGGGUACAAUUCUUCUCACGGGCCAAGUAAUAUAACUUUCAACGACAUCCCGAAUCUCCCCCUGAUGCUGAUCAAUUACAUACUCGAUUUCUUUCCUUCCAAACUAAGGCCUCUUGGAUGUUAAAAGCAGCCAUUGUAACCCGUUGGUUCUUUUCUUUCUUGUUGUAAACAUAUAAAACAUAUACAUAUGUCCAUGAUAGGUCUUCAAGGUUAGAGAUUAUUUUUGGAAGUUGUUCAAGAGGGUUUCUCGUUCUGCAGGGUGAUUGGUGAUGUUGUCUAUAUGUGGUCAAUCUGUUACCUAAUUGUUAUUACGAAAUUAAUGAGCCAAAUCACCGUUAAUUCUAAAUCGUUUUUCAAUAUGGAUUACAUGCUGAUCAUGUAUUGAUUCCACUGCAGGUUUGUUGCAAGGAUCAAUAUAGUAUUGGCUCGCCGUUUUGAGUCGCGACUUGUUGUUUUUGAGAAGAUGGCCAAGCGGAUCGUGGAGGAGUUGGGAAUGACAGGUUCUCACCAGUUGCUGCCGGCGCCGGCUGUUGCCAGCUGUCACAUCCCAAUUUUGUCCAGGCAUUUUAAAUUUUCGUAAAUUUGAUUUCAUUUUUUAAUUUGCAUCAUAUGCACAGCAUUAACAUGCAUUUCAUCAUGAAUAACACCUAAAAUAUCAGUCAGAACAAAUUAUUGAAAAUACAGACAAAUUGGUUAAAUCAUUUCUCAAGAACGUGCAAAAUCAGUGGGUAAAAAGUUUCAAAAUUAAAAUUGCAGACGCCAAUAUUAUUAAUCUACGGUUCACGUAGUUUAACCUGUUGUGCUCGUUAUAAUUUUCAACGACUGUUUCAGCUGCGCUUUGACCCGCCCGAGCCUAACCGGUAAAAAUUUAUUUUGAAAUUAAAAGAAACGCUGUAUUUUUUCAAUAAAUAUAUUUUGUGCUGAUCAUUUUUAUGUGACCAAUUUAAUUUUUUGAGCAAAUGGUCACGUGUUUGUUUACCAGAAAGUAUUGCCCCUAGAACUCAACCAGAACCAGAGCAGGAUGCCUGCUCUGAUACCAAUUGAACGACAAGGGAGGAGAUGUUGCCAACGUCUCUCUUUUCUAAUAGAAAAAUAAUAAUAAGAAGGCAUUAAACCCAUUACCCAAAGAUCUCUUUUUUCUCUCUGAGGAAAUAAAAACAAAGGAUAAGACAAAACAAAAAAAAAGAAAAUAAAAAAGAACCUCACGUCUCUCUCAUUGAUGGAUUCUCACCUACCCACUUAAUAACUAUCUCU
This is a long non-coding RNA of Lathyrus oleraceus (garden pea), 2214 nucleotides long. RefSeq lists it as uncharacterized. The transcript is spliced from 3 exons. NCBI's taxonomy places the organism in Eukaryota, Viridiplantae, Streptophyta, Magnoliopsida, Fabales, Fabaceae. The record is from RefSeq and is a predicted model, not a curated record.